Molecule: ribosomal RNA, 458 nt
Filed under: uncultured bacterium
Lineage: Bacteria
Description: bacterial SSU rRNA
Rfam family: Archaeal small subunit ribosomal RNA
Source: RNAcentral
CUUUUCAUUAGUGUAAAGAGCUUUUGGAAUAAGAGCUGGGCAAGACCGGUGCCAGCCGCCGCGGUAACACCGGCAGCUCUAGUGGUAACAAUUUUUAUUGAGUCUAAAACGUUCGUAGCCGGUUCAUUAAAUCCUUGGGUAAAUCGGAUGGCUUAACUAUCCGAAUUCCGGGGAGACUGGUGAACUUGGGACCGGGAGAGGCAAGAGGUACUUUUGGGGUAGGGGUAAAAUCCUGUAAUCCUAAAAGGACCACCGGUGGCGAAGGCGUCUUGCUAGAACGGAUCCGACGGUGAGGGACGAAGCCCUGGGUCGCAAACGGGAUUAGAUACCCCGGUAGUCCAGGGUGUAAACGCUGCAGACUUGGUGUUGGGGACCCUUCGGGGGUGUUCAGUGCCGGAGAGAAGUUGUUAAGUCUGCUACUUGGGAGUACGUCCGCAAGGAUGAAACUUAAAGGAAUU